Long non-coding RNA from Saccostrea cuccullata (small rock oyster), 482 nucleotides. RefSeq lists it as uncharacterized. The record is from RefSeq and is a predicted model, not a curated record. The transcript is spliced from 3 exons. NCBI's taxonomy places the organism in Eukaryota, Metazoa, Mollusca, Bivalvia, Ostreida, Ostreidae.
GACUUUAAACAUGCUAUCGAGAUCGAGACCGGGUCGAAAUACAGUGAACCCGAUUCCAAAACAAUAUUAUAUGAUUGACAGCAUAUAACUUAUUUCUUUUACAACUUUUUAUUAAUUAUUUAAUAACAAACAAUCAUGUACAUAUCAAUAUGCUGAUAACAACUGCAUACGCUGCGAGUGAUCAAUGAAAUAUAUAAAAGUGACGAAACGAAUUUCGUAACAUAGCCCCCUCCUGAAGAAAACAUUCGUCCCGAAUGCAACUGGACUUGGGUCUACUGAAAACAUCACUUGCAGUUAUAGAAGUUGUAACCUUCCCAAUACUAAAUCGGCUGGGAGAGAAACAUGCCUACCAAACAUCAUCUCACAUGGACUUACGCCAGUUGACUCGUGCUGGGCUGACCUAUAAGCUAACAUGAGCAAGGGUGCCUUUUGUUUCGACCUAGUUUCAAUAACUGAACACUUUUGUGUAGAUUCUUCAGGUA